UUGCUUCUCUUGAGAGCGGCGGACGGGUGAGUAAUGCCUAGGAAUCUGCCUGGUAGUGGGGGAUAACGUCCGGAAACGGACGCUAAUACCGCAUACGUCCUACGGGAGAAAGCAGGGGACCUUCGGGCCUUGCGCUAUCAGAUGAGCCUAGGUCGGAUUAGCUAGUUGGUGGGGUAAUGGCUCACCAAGGCGACGAUCCGUAACUGGUCUGAGAGGAUGAUCAGUCACACUGGAACUGAGACACGGUCCAGACUCCUACGGGAGGCAGCAGUGGGGAAUAUUGGACAAUGGGCGAAAGCCUGAUCCAGCCAUGCCGCGUGUGUGAAGAAGGUCUUCGGAUUGUAAAGCACUUUAAGUUGGGAGGAAGGGCAGUAAAUUAAUACUUUGCUGUUUUGACGUUACCGACAGAAUAAGCACCGGCUAACUCUGUGCCAGCAGCCGCGGUAAUACAGAGGGUGCAAGCGUUAAUCGGAAUUACUGGGCGUAAAGCGCGCGUAGGUGGUUCGUUAAGUUGGAUGUGAAAUCCCCGGGCUCAACCUGGGAACUGCAUUCAAAACUGACGAGCUAGAGUAUGGUAGAGGGUGGUGGAAUUUCCUGUGUAGCGGUGAAAUGCGUAGAUAUAGGAAGGAACACCAGUGGCGAAGGCGACCACCUGGGACUGAUACUGACACUGAGGUGCGAAAGCGUGGGGAGCAAAC
This 698-nucleotide ribosomal RNA is filed under the name uncultured bacterium. Its description in RNAcentral is "bacterial SSU rRNA". It matches the Rfam family "Bacterial small subunit ribosomal RNA", at positions 80 to 773 of the family's 1533-position model. The record is from RNAcentral.